This 77-nucleotide transfer RNA is filed under the name Cohnella ginsengisoli. Its description in RNAcentral is "tRNA-Arg". It matches the Rfam family "tRNA". Rfam says of the family: Transfer RNA (tRNA) molecules are approximately 80 nucleotides in length. The record is from RNAcentral. Lineage: Bacteria; Bacillati; Bacillota; Bacilli; Caryophanales; Paenibacillaceae. RNAcentral also lists the same sequence under 15 other names.
GCGCCCUUAGCUCAGCUGGAUAGAGCGUCAGACUACGAAUCUGAAGGCCGGGAGUUCGAAUCUCUCAGGGCGCGCCA